CACACACACACACACACACACACACACACACGCACGUUUUGUUUUUCAGCUCACUGAUCUUAAUUUACUUGCAAAGUCUGUAGGAUUCACAUUGCUGAGGUUUGCCUCCUGGGCAAGGAGAAAAUAGUCUUCUGGGCAAAUUAUAACAUCCAUUAAAGAUUCUAAUCUAUUCUGUUUCUUUUCUUCAUCUUUAGAGAGCUCCUCCUUUAUAUCAUUAUAUUCUUCCUUAAAUACCCGUUAAUAACCAUGCUAUCUUUACUUUUGUCAAAUUUUGGGAAGCAUCUUGUGCUAACUCUUGAGGUGGCAAAGAAUAACUAUAACUGAUUAGGUCAAGCCACAAGAGAUACAUAUUAAAUACAAAUUAAUAUGCCUUCAAGUUUAUCAUCCCCAAAAUAUAAAUAUUGAAUUUUAAGAAUAUUAUAUUUUUCCUAGCCAAAUUCAAUGUACAAGGAGAAGAGUACAUGAUAAAACAGCAUAUGAGAGAUGAAUGCCAAUUACCACCCAAAGGACCAAACACAAAUUUUCAGAAAGAGUAUAAUAUACAAUCAGGAAACUAGAACAAAAUUGUGUUUUCAUUGUAGAGAAACAAUUUAAAUCUUGCUACAUUUACACAUGUUUAUGGAAAAACACAUAGCUGAAUGACUGUCAGUACAGAUGGAUUUGUCUAUAAAUGGGUAAAUUUUGGAAGGAUUUUAAUGAUCCACUCUACUUUCUUUUUAAUGAGCUACAUCAACGUGUUUACCUCAACAAUGUAAUGAAUUCAGAGAAUCUUGAACUUGAAUCCUUAUUUUGGUCUCUUGUGCUUAUGUGUAAAAUUAUAUCCUUUAUAUAUCUACAGGAAAAGGAUACAUUUUCCUACUGUUUUUUUCAUGAGUAUAUUAGAGUAAAUAAAAACAUGAUGAGUAUUAUGAAAAUAAAUUAUUAACUUUAUACCUACUAUGCUGGUCAUAACACUUCAGGAUAUUAAAAUAUAAAAUAUAAAGACCACAGUGGUUUAGUGUAAAGGAGUUUCUUCACAUGUUAAAUAUUUAUAACAUUUUGAAAUUAAAAAUCUAUAAUUGUACAUGAAGAGUCAUAAGAAAAGCAGGUCAUCCUAUUGAUUAGUUACAUAAACUGUAUGAAGAUCUGGAGCAUGGAGAUCUGCAAGGCACAUGUCAAUUUAUACAAAAACUCCAGAUAUUUUAUAUUUUAAUAGCUCAAAUUUCUGAUCCACAAUGACGCUGCUUACACUACUAAAUAACAACAUUUACUAAUUUAAUAAUUUUUUAAAGCACUCAGAGACAAACCUAAUGGGCAGUAUAAACACAGUUUAUCAGUGAAACCUGAAAAACUGGAUGAAAAGAAUGUUUAAGAUUAUAAAGCUCAUUUGAUAUUUGUUGUGUCUCAGGUAUGCGAUUUCAGGUUGUUUUUAAUGUCCACUAGGCUCAUUCAACUUUAUAGAGUAUUUUAUUUCUAUAGUAGUAUGUUAAUGGAUGAGGGUUUCAGUAACACCAAGUAAUUUACUACAGACAGCAACUAUUGCUAUGCAUAAAUGGCCAAAAAUUCAAAUUGAAGUCUAAGUAAUGAGUUUAAUGAGAUUUCCUGUCAGAAAGUGAAUAAAGACUAAGCUUACUUCCAGAAUCUGUGGGCAUGGAAAUAUCCCUGUUUGACCCACAUCUGUAUCAUAGUUAGAUACUAUCACAUGCAUCUUCAAGGAGUGUGAAACAAAUUAUUUUUAUCUUCAUCUAAAGAUAGAGGAAAUGAGUAAGUUAUUUUCAACUUUCUCUCAGUUUCUGACACUUAUACAGUGACCCGAAAACUGAAAAUAUAUCUCAAUUUACAAUUCCAGGAUAGAGACAUAAAAAAUGGAAGAACUCAUCAAAGCAUUCAAAGUUCCUAGUUGAGUUCUCUAGAAAGGACAGGGUGGCAAGUAUUUAGACAGUUUUUCUGUUACUAUGAUCUAAUGGUAACUAAUGAUCAUAGAAAAUGUGUUAGGUAUCAAUCCAAAGGGCUUUUUAGAUAACACCUGAAGCCUCAACUCACAGCCAGUAUCUUAGCAGUCAUACAUAUACACCAUUAAUUUCUGUGUAUUUUCCUCUUGUACAUAGGCAGACUUAUUUUUCCCUUGUUUUCUCAUUCAUCAAGUGUGCCUUAAUUGCCCAAACCAUCAUUUUUAUCAAUGGACUAUACUAUCUGUGAGUCAACAAGCCAUAAACUGAGCAAAUCUAUCAGUUAAAAAAUUAUGCAGUGACUCAAAUUGAUGAUCCAGUUUAUUUUUUCGAGCAUCCUCAUUGAUCUCAUCUAUGAAUCAGUUUGCUGCCAAAUAUGUAUAUGUGUGUUUCAGUUUCACUAUAAGUUAAAGAUUCAUUUUUUCAGAGAUUUCGGUAAACCAUCCUAGUUGACUUGAAGGAACUCUUCCUGAAAUACUGGUAAGUAAAUAUAAGUUUUGGAAGUUUGCUUAGGAUCUUAUUUGAAAUAAAGGCAAAGUUUUAAGUUGUCAUUUGGAUUGAGGAUUCAGAAAAGUAGUAUUAACAUUAUGGUGAAGAAUAUUUCUAGCAUGUUUAAUUACAAUAUGUGGCUAAAGUAAAACAAAUAGGCAAUAACAAAUGAUUACAUACUUGGAACAAAUGAGAAAUAUUCAAUUAUUAGAAUUUUUGUUAAAAUAUUAACAUUAUUAUCAGUAAUCUUUAACAUCAUAGGUUCAGCCUUUUAUCAAAAUUUGAAACUAAUUUUAUAAUGCUAACAUCAAUUCUACAGAACUCACCAAUACAGCAGGAAGUUAUUCAGUUUUUAUAUCUACAUUGCAUUUGUAUCUAUCUUCAAAUUUUAUUGAUUCUUUACAGAAUUAAUUUGCCUUUCUGUUGGCUACUGUAAACAUGUUUUGUUUAUACCCUGCAAUUAGAAAUAAAUAAAUAAAUAUUCUGUUAA
Long non-coding RNA from Sapajus apella (tufted capuchin), 2907 nucleotides. RefSeq lists it as uncharacterized. The record is from RefSeq and is a predicted model, not a curated record. Lineage: Eukaryota; Metazoa; Chordata; Mammalia; Primates; Cebidae. The transcript has 2 exons.